UACGGAGGGAGCUAGCGUUGUUCGGAAUUACUGGGCGUAAAGCGCGCGUAGGCGGCCUUGUAAGUUAGAGGUGAAAGCCCGGAGCUCAACUCCGGAACUGCCUUUAAGACUGCAUCGCUUGAAUCCAGGAGAGGUGAGUGGAAUUCCGAGUGUAGAGGUGAAAUUCGUAGAUAUUCGGAAGAACACCAGUGGCGAAGGCGGCUCACUGGACUGGUAUUGACGCUGAGGUGCGAAAGCGUGGGGAGCAAACAGG
This 253-nucleotide ribosomal RNA is filed under the name uncultured bacterium. RNAcentral describes it as "partial 16S ribosomal RNA". It matches the Rfam family "Bacterial small subunit ribosomal RNA", at positions 524 to 776 of the family's 1533-position model. The record is from RNAcentral.